Molecule: long non-coding RNA, 156 nt
Organism: Sardina pilchardus (European sardine)
Lineage: Eukaryota; Metazoa; Chordata; Actinopteri; Clupeiformes; Clupeidae
Exons: 3
Source: RefSeq, a predicted model, not a curated record
GGACAACUAGAUGAAAGAUUCAUGACAGAGUGCACCUGACCAGGGACAAGAUCAGUGUGAAGAACAAAGUGCAGCAGGAAACAUUGAUCCAACUACCUGAACCCGGAGCGGCGCAUUCCGCGGCCGCGGAGAUUGAUCGGAAUGAACCGUGUUGGC